GUUAAGCGACUAAGCGUACACGGUGGAUGCCCUGGCAGUCAGAGGCGAUGAAGGACGUGCUAAUCUGCGAUAAGCGUCGGUAAGGUGAUAUGAACCGUUAUAACCGGCGAUUUCCGAAUGGGGAAACCCAGUGUGUUUCGACACACUAUCAUUAACUGAAUCCAUAGGUUAAUGAGGCGAACCGGGGGAACUGAAACAUCUAAGUACCCCGAGGAAAAGAAAUCAACCGAGAUUCCCCCAGUAGCGGCGAGCGAACGGGGAGCAGCCCAGAGCCUGAAUCAGUGUGUGUGUUAGUGGAAGCGUCUGGAAAGGCGCGCGAUACAGGGUGACAGCCCCGUACACAAAAAUGCACAUGCUGUGAGCUCGAUGAGUAGGGCGGGACACGUGGUAUCCUGUCUGAAUAUGGGGGGACCAUCCUCCAAGGCUAAAUACUCCUGACUGACCGAUAGUGAACCAGUACCGUGAGGGAAAGGCGAAAAGAACCCCGGCGAGGGGAGUGAAAAAGAACCUGAAACCGUGUACGUACAAGCAGUGGGAGCCUCUUUUAUGGGGUGACUGCGUACCUUUUGUAUAAUGGGUCAGCGACUUAUAUUCUGUAGCAAGGUUAACCGAAUAGGGGAGCCGAAGGGAAACCGAGUCUUAACUGGGCGUUAAGUUGCAGGGUAUAGACCCGAAACCCGGUGAUCUAGCCAUGGGCAGGUUGAAGGUUGGGUAACACUAACUGGAGGACCGAACCGACUAAUGUUGAAAAAUUAGCGGAUGACUUGUGGCUGGGGGUGAAAGGCCAAUCAAACCGGGAGAUAGCUGGUUCUCCCCGAAAGCUAUUUAGGUAGCGCCUCGUGAAUUCAUCUCCGGGGGUAGAGCACUGUUUCGGCAAGGGGGUCAUCCCGACUUACCAACCCGAUGCAAACUGCGAAUACCGGAGAAUGUUAUCACGGGAGACACACGGCGGGUGCUAACGUCCGUCGUGAAGAGGGAAACAACCCAGACCGCCAGCUAAGGUCCCAAAGUCAUGGUUAAGUGGGAAACGAUGUGGGAAGGCCCAGACAGCCAGGAUGUUGGCUUAGAAGCAGCCAUCAUUUAAAGAAAGCGUAAUAGCUCACUGGUCGAGUCGGCCUGCGCGGAAGAUGUAACGGGGCUAAACCAUGCACCGAAGCUGCGGCAGCGACGCUUAUGCGUUGUUGGGUAGGGGAGCGUUCUGUAAGCCUGUGAAGGUGUGCUGUGAGGCAUGCUGGAGGUAUCAGAAGUGCGAAUGCUGACAUAAGUAACGAUAAAGCGGGUGAAAAGCCCGCUCGCCGGAAGACCAAGGGUUCCUGUCCAACGUUAAUCGGGGCAGGGUGAGUCGACCCCUAAGGCGAGGCCGAAAGGCGUAGUCGAUGGGAAACAGGUUAAUAUUCCUGUACUUGGUGUUACUGCGAAGGGGGGACGGAGAAGGCUAUGUUGGCCGGGCGACGGUUGUCCCGGUUUAAGCGUGUAGGCUGGUUUUCCAGGCAAAUCCGGAAAAUCAAGGCUGAGGCGUGAUGACGAGGCACUACGGUGCUGAAGCAACAAAUGCCCUGCUUCCAGGAAAAGCCUCUAAGCAUCAGGUAACAUCAAAUCGUACCCCAAACCGACACAGGUGGUCAGGUAGAGAAUACCAAGGCGCUUGAGAGAACUCGGGUGAAGGAACUAGGCAAAAUGG
RNAcentral lists this ribosomal RNA (1681 nucleotides) under Escherichia coli. RNAcentral's name for it is "partial 23S ribosomal RNA". It matches the Rfam family "Bacterial large subunit ribosomal RNA", at positions 1 to 1725 of the family's 2925-position model. Lineage: Bacteria; Pseudomonadati; Pseudomonadota; Gammaproteobacteria; Enterobacterales; Enterobacteriaceae. The record is from RNAcentral.